Molecule: unclassified non-coding RNA, 6218 nt
Filed under: Dimorphilus gyrociliatus
Lineage: Eukaryota; Metazoa; Annelida; Polychaeta; Dinophilidae
Description: dgyrCDS11059
Source: RNAcentral
GGAUAUCAGAGGCACGAGAGUCACUAGAUUGGAGUGUUCUAUACCAUGUCAGUGAGAGUGAUUAGAUUGAUUUCAACCAGUUUGGAUAAAUUAAAAUAGAUUUGAAAUUUUGAGGAAUCAAAUUCAAAUUAUUCGAAAGAAUUGGUUGAAAGUAAUCUUGCAAACAAUAUAUACAUAUUUUCGCUGAAAGACCGUAAGUUUGUGAAUUUUUUUUUUGUAGGGGUAAUAUAUUUCAUCUGAUAUUUAUAGAGUUAUGCUUUCAAAUUUUAUUUUUGAAAACGAAUCAGUUACAGAGACACAAUAAACUGAAUUAAAUUGCAUAUAAAUUACACAAACUCGCCAUUAGGCUAAUCAAUAUGAGAACAGUCGAAUGUUAUUGAUUUGUUUGGAAUAUUGGGACUUUUUUGCACGAUUAGUAUAAUUUAUUAAAACUAUUUGUUUAUACUUUUACACAUGUACUUAAACGUAAGACAGCGUUUAUAAGUUUUGGAGUGCUGGGAAUUUGGCUAAUUCCCCGUAAAGUAAGGCUGCAGGCAAGUACUAACUGGAAAAGUAAAUGUGACAUAGGUCGAUUAGGUCAAAUGACUGUUUAUGCUUUAUCAUUUAAUCGUCUGUUGUCCGUUACAAUCUCUGCAGAUAUUGUUUUAAACCUCCUGAGUUUAUUCUGAGCCCAAUCAAUUGGUGCUAAGUCUACAAAGCUUAACAGAUAAACUGCCUUGGAAACGUAGCCAUAGACGAAUACUGAAUAUAAUUUCUUUUUGCUUUUAGCACGCGAUUCAGACAUUUAUAUAAGAUUUAUCAACAACCCCAGCUGCUAGAAAGCGUAAAGCAGAUAUUUGGCAAAACAAGUUGCGUGCUUGACGAAAAUUGAAAGAGAAACGUAAAGGAUUGCAGAAAUAUUGGGACAUUUCGAACGGUUUUUUUGAUGCUUAUGGCAUACAAAUUUUUCUCUCAUAACGAGUCUGUAUAGGGAAAGGCCGUUUUAUCCUCAUAAUUUAUAUGUUUGUCCCGUCACUUUUUUAUCAACUAAUUUAAUAUAUAUACAGCAUAUAUAGCAUAUAUCCUAAGUGUAUUUAGAGUGAGUGAGAGGCCUUAUGUAACGUAACUAUUUCGCUAGAUCCAUAGAGCAUAUGUACAUUGCUAUUAGCGUAUAUAUAGAAAAUAUAUUUAUAAAUAUGCGUUUGUACUACUAAAGAUGGUAACGAAGCGUAAAAUUCGCACUUGCAAACUGUAACCAUCUACGGGCCUCUAUCGGGCGUCUAUUUACUGUGUCUUACGCUUCGCUAAUGUCCUUUUCUCCUCCUCAAGCUUUUAUUCAACAUGAGUUCUGUUUACUUAAUACCCGUGACGUCUAUUUGUAUUUGUUCUUUGUUAGUGUUUCUCUGUAAAAGCGACGCUAUACUAUUCACAUUUAAUCGCUUUAUAAUAACGACAAGAAUUAAUAAUAUAUCCAUUAGAUUCCCAUAAUAUGGACAAUUUCAUAAUUACCCACAGAAAAAUCUAUGACUCUGGCGAAUAAUUAAAAGUAUGUUAAAUUAUACUUAUACACGAAGAUGCUAGAAUAUUAAAAAGCGAAAGCAGAAUAAUUGUACUAAUGAAUUUACCAAUAAUCAGUGUAAUAUAUACACACAUCAAUAGAACUAUGAAUGACACUAGUAUGUUUGGCGAACGUCGCAAAUGUAGAGUGCAAACAUCGCCUUCACUAUCGCAUCAUUUAUUAGAUGAUUGGUAGGAUUGCUAUAGAACGGUACUCUUGAGAUUCUUGCGAUUCAGCCAAAUGAUUUGUUCUUUUUCUAAUUUUAAAUCUAUGUCAAGAGAAUUUACCUGUCUGAAAUAUGUUAGGCUUCUCUCAUAUUAGCCUACAAAUGAAGACGCCUAAUGUGUCUUGCCCUCUACUUUUAACGCGGAACAGUAAUUACGAGACACGAGUUGUCCUGACCAUCUGUAUACUAUUUCUUUUUUUUUGAUUGAUUUUUCUUGUCUUCGCUUUAGUCAUUUCUCAUCACUGCGUCCAUGCCCUAAAUUGUGUCUGAUCGAAUGUGUUUGUUUUAGUUGGGAAGCAUCCAUUACAUAAGCCAGAAAAGGAAAAAAUCAAUAGUCUAUACGUAAUCCUUUAAUGCUCAUGAGAUUAUUCUCCGUCACCGAAUUGAGUUAUCUCUUCAGGCUUUAUUAACUAUAAUAGCGACGGCUGUCUGGCAAUACGUUUUACAUAGAAUCUUGAAAGCAUAAUUCGGAACUUUCUCUUAUCAAACCUACGUACGUCACAUCAGUUUUCUUUUCAGUGCAAUGAAUGUAAUAUCAGCGACCUGGUCUUUUGAGAAAUGCAGCGUUACCGGGUGCAAGAAACUGGAACAUUUCAUUAUAGUUUAUAUAUUCUAAUCCACAUUACUACUUGCGUUUGUUAUGACGAAGACUAUAGGGAAAAACUUGAUGGAGGUAAUUUCCUGGCAACCAAGAGCCUUGUGUCCUUGUAUAAAGUAAUAGGAAUAUUAAAAAGGGAAGGCGAAUGAAAAGAGCAAGAUCGCUGAAAUCAAUAUCUCUAUAUUUUCUAUUCGAUAUACUAUAUAUUUUGCAUUUCCUUGCCAAAAAUUCGAGGUCAAAGCGUGAUAUCGUAUAGCAGAUAAAUAUACACUUGACGGAAUAAAUAGUGCUAAUAAUAAAUUAAUAGUUACUAUGAUGUUCGCAGCUCCUCCAGUGAUAGGAAAUAAUUCGCCAUCAUUCUUGCUUGGAAAAGAAGGACAAAACAUCGAGUUGUGGUGCUCAGCUACAGGCAGUCCUGAACCACAGCUAACUUGGUUAAAAGAUGGAAAUGAAGUGCUCAGCUCUGAAGACAUAAUUGUAGAUGGAAAUAAGAUUCGAUUAAAUAACUUGAAAAGAGAGGAUGGAGGGGCUUACCAAUGCGUCUUUAAGAAUGUUGUAGGUCAAGCUUCGCAUACCAUUAAGUUGAUUAUAAAAGGAUACGUAUACAUCAUGGAAAAACCUCGAAACAUAACCGUUCAGGACGGAAAUGAAGCGAAAUUUAUUUGUCAUGCUGAUAAUGAAUUUCAUAAUUCCACAUUCAAGUGGUAUAAAGAUAACGUUGACGUUCAAUUAGUACCUGGCUUGGGAACUUUACGUUCAUCGAUUUUAUCGGAUGGUACAUUGAUUAUCAGAAAUGUCAUAAAAAGCGAUAGCGCAUGGUUUGAAUGCGAAGCAAAAAAUGAAAUUUCUACUUCGGCUAAAGCAAAGGCGUUUUUAAAUGUAACUUACUUGCCAGUCGUUUUAACUUCCGACAUGACAGUUCUGCUACCCCGUAACAUGCCAGGACUACUCAGUUGUCCAUUUGACGCAAAUCCACCUGUCACAUCUGUAGUAUGGACUAAAAACGAGCAAGAAAUAAAGUUUUUAGACUACACAAGAGUUUACAAGAGGAAUCUUUCCGAUUUAGCUUUCAGAACGGUCAGGGAAAGUGACGAAGGUGCAUACUCUUGUACACCUUACUCAGCACUAGGUGCAAGUAAAUAUUCUCCACGUUUUCAAGUUCAUAUCCGAGAUCCUCCCUAUUUUAAAGAGAGGCCUAAAAGAUACUACCAGAAACAAGUUGGAGAUACAAUUUCUAUUCCCUGUGAAGCUACAGGGGAUCCAACUCCCACGAUAAAGUGGCAAAAGCAAAAUGGUCAACUAGAUCCAGAGAAAAAAUUGAUUGAAGACAGCCGAUUAGUAAUAACGUACUUAAGUAUGGAUGAUAGUGGUUAUUAUGAGUGUGAAGCGAGUAAUGAGGUGGCAACUAUAGUCACAACCACAUUACUUAUUGUCGAAGUGAGCUCUCCGCAUAGAGCUCGCAACAUCUCAAUAAAAACUACCGAAAAUACUGCAAAUGUCAAAUGGUUGCCAGCUUUUGACAGUGAUUAUGCAAAGCGUCAAGAUUAUUUUAUUUGGUAUAGAGAAAUAGAAAAGAAUACGAAACAAAACUGGACAACUAUUGCUGUACCGGAUGAUUAUACUAGUCUUCUAGUUGAAAAUUUAAAAUCUGAUACUCGCUAUGAAUUUGUAAUAUUAUCUCGUAAUAGCUUAGGAAAUGGUUUAUUUAGUGAAAGACACUUAGUAAAAACUAAAGGUAGUAAACGUCAUAUUACAAAAACUGAAGUAUAUCCAUCAGCAGCUAUUGCUAUUCCUCCUCCGGGUCCAAGGCCCGAUUCGCCAAGAAACUUAACCAUUAAAAAUUUAGGAGACACUCUAGAAAUCCGUUGGCUUCCUCCAAGAAAUUUAACAGUUCCCGUCCAAUAUUACAUUGUUUACUUUCGAACUGUGGGUAAAUUCGAUGAUCUAUCAGGUCCAAUAAAUAAUGGGACAUCCUUUGAAUGGAAGGGUUUUUCCCGCGGUGCUAAGUAUCGUUUUAAAGUAUUCAGGCGAGUUUUACAUUCGAUAUCUUUAAAUUUUAAACAAUAAAACUAAUGGAGAGAAAUGUCAUCUUCAUAGCUAUAACAAUGGCGCCCAAUCGAAACCUAGCGAGGAAAUGGUUUAUCAUACUGGAGGUAAUCCUUAGCAGUAAAAUAUCGAGAUGAUAAAUAUGUGUUUUUUAACAUUUUUAUAAUAGAUCCAAUGAAAAAAGGCAUAAAACUAUCCAAGGCUGCAAUAGGUGGCAUAGUGGGCGGUUUACUUUUCUUCAUCUUCACUGUCAUAAUGUCCGUGUGUGGCGUUAAAAUCUUCAGUAGGAAUCACGAUAAAAGAGAGUCUGUUGUAAAAUACGGUAAGCCUGUUCAAAAUACUUUCUAUUUAUUUAUUAUUUUUAUUCUAAAUUAUUACUGCUAUUUAUACAUACGUUAUGUAUUCCUAAGGCAAUGUCAAAUAUUUUGGGCCAAGCAACCCCAACAAUGUGGAAAACAGAAAGUACGUAUCAAUUUUUGUUUGAUAUGUAUAAAUGAUUAAAUUGGAUAGGAUAUAUCGAAACAGCAACAAAUUUACUGAGUUGUGAUUUCAUUUAUUUUACAAUGCACCAGUGGAAGUAAAUCAGGUUCGUAAAUUGCAUGCCGCCUGAAUUAUAAUAGCUAAACAGUCUGAUACUCUGAAAACCUCAAAAAAAUCUUUUUCUAUUUAAUAUUUUCUUUAUCAGUAAUUUCUUGUGUCCUGAGUUUAUAGAUGUUGCAUUUUUAAAAUGAUAUGUAACAGGCAUACCUGUAACUGGUAAUCAAGAACCUGUUGAAGAAAAGAUGUUAGACCAAAGCCAGUUCAAUCAUGUUUUGUACAGCCACAAUAGAUUGCCUAUAAUACCGCCAAGUGAUCAAACAUCAGAAUGCGACCAUCUAACUUAUGAUCAUGUUAGCAGUUUCAGCGGCUACAUAACUCCCUUGACUCCUAUUGAUCGAUCCAGAGAUAGCCUUAAAGGGAGUGUGAAAGAAACUCCGAUCUAGUUUUAAUUCUCUACUGUGAAGAAAAUAAUUAUCUGCAGUAUUCUUUCUCGCUCAGAAAUAAGUGUUGCCGAAUUUCGAAGGACACACCUUUUGCUAAUUUGUUCUGAUUUAUUGGCAGUAAUAUAAUUUAUCAGAAGAUAAUUAAUUUAAUUUUGUAGCUGUCAUGAGUCGAGAUAUACGAUAUAUGAAUGCGUUAAUGUAUAAGCUUGUAAUAAACAUACUUAAAUAGUUAUGUUUAUUGUACUAGUUGUUAUUUUUUGUACGUGUUCUUUCAAAAAUUUGCAAUAAAUGAUACAUGCAACAUUUUCUUCAACCAAACAUUGAUUAAUAAUUAAAUAAACUAAAUUAUCAUUUAUUUCAAUGCAGCCAAAAGUGCUUCAGAUUCGCUGUCACAAUCAAAGAUUUUUAUUUUCAGUAGUUGGCAUAGCAGAGGGUAAAUAUCCACCAUCGAUGCCUUUGUUGUUUUUCCAUUUUCUAUAAUAUCUGGUCCAAAAGCGUAAAAAAUUCCUUGCAUGUCCUUCUCUGCGUUAUCGAAUCCAUGAUUUCCGUUUAGUUUUUUCUCUGGGUUCUUUUUCAUAAAUAAAGUUAAACCAAAAUAAAAAUCAUAAAUUUCAUCGAACUUACAUAAAAGACAUAAGGUAAAUCAGUGUAGGCAAAUAUGUCGCCAACCCUUGGAUGUUGUCCAUAAUGAAAUCUUUCCGGAAUAUCUUCUCUUUUGUGAACGUUCAGGUGUUCGAUUUUUGAGAGUAUUUGAUAAAUCUAUAAAUAUAAUUAUUUCGAGUAAACGGUAAAAGUACUAGUUUACUUUGUUUUCUUGCAGUUUAUCUU